GGUACUCGCGAGACCGAACAAAUGAAUGUCGCGCGGAGUGAGAGAGCCCCUAGGGGUGUCGCGCACUCGGCAAGGAGGAUCGUCGCUCGGAUACCCGACGAUCGAGGGGGCAAGAGACGAGAGGGUUUCCGAGUUUUUGAUGUAUUAAAACGCGGGCUCUACGUGACACCGAAUGCUAAAACAUGGCAGCCAUUAUUAUCGCGCCGUCGCACUCGAUAAAUUAGACAGUCCACUUGAGCGUGGACCCGAACGCCGUUACCGAUCGUGGCCAGCGAUAAGAUUUCGAUCUACUUAAACGUACCCAUUUGUAUCUAGUAUGUUUCAUGGCGCGCCGAGAUAUCGCCGGCAUCUGGGGAGUUCCGUUCCGACAGCUGUGCCGAGAACUGCCUUCGAGAUUGCGUAAAUAUAGCACGCGCAUGCAAAUUGGCAUCGCCUCUCGUCUUGCUGCCGAUUAUGAUGCAUUUGACAACGUUGAGUGAAGACUAAAUAUGACAAACUGUCAGAAAAGUCUUCUUGGUGGCUGAUAAACAAAGGAGGAUAAAAUGGCUACCCGUGGUGUAAGAGCGGAUAGUCUAAUCCCGGAUGAGACGACGGCGGAUGUACGACGACGACGGCGACGGAGACGAAGAUGGAAAAGAGAGAGAGAGAAAGAGAUAGAGGAACGAGAGACGGCGCAGACACAUCUCUCGGAUUACGUCUUAACAAGCUCCACGACGUUCAUUUGUCUUAUCCGUUGCCGCUAAUGCGACAGCAGCUGUUGAAAUGAUUAAUUCGGCGCGAGGACGCCGUCUUGUUCCGCUCCGCUCAAGCACUCGAUUUUGUCGUCGCAGAUGCGUCGCGGUUAAUCAACGCAUUGCGGUUAAUCACCGUCGCUGUGAAAUACAAAGCCAAACGAAUAGCGUUCGAAUCUAAUAGAAAUGUGGCUGUGUGCCAUUUGUAAAAUCGAUGUAGCAAUUUAGAAUAAUUUAGAAAACAUACAUGGUAGAGAACGUAUAACAAUAAUUUAUAAGAUAUAUAUCGAUAGAGAAUUUAUAUUCUCUAAACAAUUCUACACAUUUGACAUAGGAUAUUUUUAUCUGUGACAAGCUAGACUUCGAAUCUAGUUUGACAUACAUGUAUAUGUGUUUUAAGAAAAUUAAUCGAUCUAAUUCAAUCUAAUUCUAAACGCUAGUGACAAUUGCAUAACGGUGAUUAAAUUCGCGCAAGGUGUUCUACCGCACGAUUGUUCAUAAGAGAAACCCUAUGUGCGAUUACUCGCACUCUGUCCAAACAAACAGAAGCGAGCGCCCGCGAUCUAAUUGGAUUAAUUUUCAAUUUGUCGGGACCACCUGUCGUCGCGGUGUACCGAUCGCGCGUCCCGAUCGAUGACUAAUCCGCGAGAAUGAGAAUCCGCGCGACUCCAACGAGCGCAGUCGGAGCCGACUAUUAGAGUUGCACGAGGGAACAAAGAAACGCGAAGCGACAAUUGUGCCUCAUCGUGCGGAUAUAGAGUUACAGGCGCGCGAGCGGAGAAAAUGAACGGCGAAUAUUAAGCUGGCGUAGCAAAAUGGCCGACGGGCGAGAGAAAAAAAUAGGGACGCACUAGUCUCUCUCUUUCUCUCGCUCGUCACAUGACAAGCGGUGGAGACGCGUAACGAACACUUGGUUCCACACACUCGUCGGGUUACGACGUGACGCGGGUCGAAAUUUUGCCGCGUCGCUAACGCAUGCGCGACGCACGCCGAUCGAAAGCCCCGCCCGGUCAUUCUACCUUUGUUUAAUUCACAUGGUAUCUACGCCCACGAUAACAGUAGUGUAACUAGAGAGGGUCCUAUAAAACUCGCGAGAGGGACACCUCUAGAACAUUUAAAAACAAUAAGAGUAUAACUCUAAAAACCAAAUUUAAAAAAUAAAGAAAAAGAUAAUUUAAAACAAGGAUUUAAUUCUAAUAUGAUCUUGUUAGACGAAAGUUCAGUAUUUCAAAGUAGUAUUAGAAGGUUUAUUGUUUAUAAUACGAUAAAUAUAUAAUACGAAUAAUAAUAUAAUGACCUAUAUUAUUAUUUAGGUGAAUUAUUAGUGAACUAAUCAUUUCUAAUUAGAUGAAAGAAAUAAAAUCAAUUGUAUUUUCUUGACACUGAUAGAUUGUUCACAAGUCAACUUUAGAGUUAUUUUUAGCAUCGAGAUUGCGCGAUUCGAAUAGACACUCUUUGACAUGGUAUAGAAAUGUUUGUGAACAAAAUUUAUAUACCAUUUCACAAAUUGAAGGAUUUUAGUUAGAAAAAUGAGAUAAAAUCUUAUAAUUUGUAACUUUAUUUUAUUUUUUGUAUUAAAAACCGAGCUUAUAAAUCGCGGAUUUAUUUUAUUUCUUUAUUGAAUUCUUAAUUAGAAAAUAAUUGUAAUAGACAUAUACAAAAAUAGAACUGCGGAGUAACUCCACAACAACUGGUAGCGUGGCCGAGCGGUCUA
Cataglyphis hispanica is the source of this 2445-nucleotide long non-coding RNA. RefSeq lists it as uncharacterized. The record is from RefSeq and is a predicted model, not a curated record. NCBI's taxonomy places the organism in Eukaryota, Metazoa, Arthropoda, Insecta, Hymenoptera, Formicidae. The transcript is spliced from 3 exons.